UGGGGAAUCUUGGACAAUGGGGGCAACCCUGAUCCAGCCAUGCCGCGUGAGUGAUGAAGGCCUUAGGGUCGUAAAGCUCUUUCGCCUGUGAAGAUAAUGACGGUAGCAGGUAAAGAAGUCCCGGCUAACUCCGUGCCAGCAGCCGCGGUAAUACGGAGGGGACUAGCGUUGUUCGGAAUUACUGGGCGUAAAGAGUUCGUAGGCGGACUAGCAAGUUAGAGGUGAAAUCCCAGGGCUCAACCUUGGAACUGCCUUUAAAACUGCUAGUCUAGAGACCGGAAGAGGUUAGGGGAAUACCUAGUGUAGAGGUGAAAUUCGUAGAUAUUAGGUGGAACACCAGUGGCGAAGGCGCCUAACUGGUCCGGUACUGACGCUGAGGAACGAAAGCGUGGGGAGCAAACAGGAUUAGAUACCCUGGUAGUCCACGCCGUAAACGAUGAGUGCUAGAUGUUGGGAUUUUCGGAUUUUCCAGUGUCGCAGCUAACGCAUUAAGC
RNAcentral lists this ribosomal RNA (494 nucleotides) under uncultured bacterium. RNAcentral's name for it is "bacterial SSU rRNA". It matches the Rfam family "Bacterial small subunit ribosomal RNA", at positions 355 to 865 of the family's 1533-position model. The record is from RNAcentral.